AUGAGAUUUCCUGUUGAGUUUUGUGUUGUGAAGUUUUCAAGUUUUGGGAAAAGAUUUGAUGGACUAUGGAAUAAGGAGUGGCAAGAGCCUAAACUCGGGGAUGCCCAUGGCACCGCAAGAUAUUCCAGAAUAGCCAAAAGCCUAAGCUUGGGGAUGCCCCGGAAGGCAUCCCCUCUUUCGUCUUCGUUUAUCAGUAACUUUACUUGGAGCUAUAUUUUUAUUUGCCACAUGAUAUGUGUUUUGCUUGGAGCGUCUUGUAUGAUAUUAGUCUUUGCUUUUCAGUUUACCACAAUCAUCCUUGUUGCACACACCUUUUGGGAGAAGUCCACUUGA
This 333-nucleotide ribosomal RNA is filed under the name Triticum aestivum (bread wheat). Its description in RNAcentral is "partial small subunit ribosomal RNA". Lineage: Eukaryota; Viridiplantae; Streptophyta; Magnoliopsida; Poales; Poaceae. The record is from RNAcentral.